RNAcentral lists this long non-coding RNA (1266 nucleotides) under Monodelphis domestica (gray short-tailed opossum). Its description in RNAcentral is "lncRNA (ENSMODG00000044635.1)". Lineage: Eukaryota; Metazoa; Chordata; Mammalia; Didelphimorphia; Didelphidae. The record is from RNAcentral.
AGCUCAAGUUCAGAUCUCCGGAAAACCCUUCCCGACCGAUCUCAAACGAUAAGCUCCUAAGGCGCCGAAAUUCAAAACGAUCAACAGCACAGACCCUGGGAACCCUCCUCCUGGACCUGGACCCGGUUCAAAAGGUACGGCUCCCCUCAAAAGCCAGAACCCGAGAUCCCUCGGACCUCAGGGGUAGGAGCGCGGAGUCCAAGGCUCCCGGAAGCCGCAGCCCUGCCGGCUGGGCUCAGAGAGCAGAACCCUCAGGGCCUUCUACAGUCCCGGUGAAAGUUACUGCCUGGGGCUUCCGCUGCAGAGAGCUGGUCGAAACAACAGCAACCCUCAGGGCGGGUAAGACAGCCUCACGGGCUGGAUCCUGCUAUCCAAGUCUCAGUGAAAGUCCUUGCUCUCGGAGCUUGGGUUAGCUGCAGCCCAUCCCCCCGCAGGCCGACGAAACAGCCUCACGGCCAGCGAUUCUGAAGGCAACUUCCGGAAAGCAACGUGGUCCGACCCUUCCAUUCCAGUUCCAGUGAGGCAUAUUCAGUUUAACCCAGGGAAAGUCAUAGAACCAUCUGCCCAGGACUAAAGCCUCUGAACACCAGACAGAGACAAGAAAAGCCAAUCCUCCACAUUCAGAGAUGGAAAACUCCACAGAAGCACAGAAGCCCCAAAAUACCAAGAAAAAUAAGAAGAAAGGGGCGACUUUGGACACAUUCUAUGGAGCCAAAAUACAAAAUACAGAGCAGAUAGAAGAUAAUAUAAAAGAAAAUGCUCCAAAACCUUCCAAAGGAAAUGGAAACUCUCCACAAACCUAUGAAGAAUUUGAAUCAGAAAUGACCAAAAAGAUGGAAGCCUUCUGGGAGGAAAAGUUGGAAAUAAUGCAAAAGAAAUUCACGCAUCUACAAAACCAGUUUGACCAAACUGUAAAAGAAAACCAGGCUUUAAAGGCCAGAAUCAGGCAGCUGGAAGACAACGAUUGUGUAAAAGAGCAAGAAUCAAUAAAGCAAAGCCAAAAUACCAAGAAAUUAGAAGAGAACAUAAAAUAUCUCACCGACAAGGUGAUAGAUCUGGAAAAUAGGGGGAGAAGGGAUAAUUUAAGAAUAAUUGGACUCCCAGAAAAGCCAGAAAUAAACACCAAACUGGACAUGGUGAUACAAGAUAUAAUUAAAGAAAAUUGCCCAGAGAUUCUAGGACAAGGGGGACUGUUUCAAAGUAAAUCACUGGACUAAAAGGUAGAGCCGAAGAAGAAUAGGUUAGAAUUAGGGAAGGCAAUCAAAA